CGGCGAACGGGUGAGUAACACGUGGGUAAUCAACCCUCGGUACUGGGAUAGCCCGGGGAAACCCGGAUUAAUACCGGAUGGCCCUUCGGAUCUUCGGAUCUGACGGAAAAGGUAGCUUCGGCCUCCGACCGAGGACGAGCCCGCGGCGGAUUGCUUGUUGGUGGGGUAACGGCUCACCAAGGCGACGAUCCGUAGCUGGUCUGAGAGGACGAUCAGCCACACUGGGACUGAGACACGGCCCAG
This 243-nucleotide ribosomal RNA is filed under the name uncultured bacterium. RNAcentral describes it as "partial 16S ribosomal RNA". It matches the Rfam family "Bacterial small subunit ribosomal RNA", at positions 96 to 334 of the family's 1533-position model. The record is from RNAcentral.